UCAGGAUGAACGCUAGCUACAGGCUUAACACAUGCAAGUCAGGGCAGCAUGGCUAGCUGCUAGACUGAUGGCGACCGGCGCACGGGUGAGUAACGCGUAUCCAACCUUCCCCCUGGUAGGGCAUAGCCCGGCGAAAGUCGGAUUAAUACCCUAUGUUAUCCGAAGAGGACAUCUGAUUUGGAUCAAAGAUUUAUCGCCAUGGGAUGGGGAUGCGUCCGAUUAGGUUGACGGCGGGGUGACGGCCCACCGUGCCCGCGAUCGGUAGGGGUUCUGAGAGGAAGGUCCCCCACAUUGGAACUGAGACACGGUCCAAACUCCUACGGGAGGCAGCAGUGAGGAAUAUUGGUCAAUGGGCGUAAGCCUGAACCAGCCAAGUAGCCGUGCGGGACGACGGCCCUAUGGGUUGUAAACCGCUUUUGCAGGGGAAUAAAGUGUGGGACGUGUCCCAUUUUGCAUGUACCCUGAGAAUAAGGACCGGCUAAUUCCGUGCCAGCAGCUGC
RNAcentral lists this ribosomal RNA (500 nucleotides) under uncultured bacterium. Its description in RNAcentral is "bacterial SSU rRNA". It matches the Rfam family "Bacterial small subunit ribosomal RNA", at positions 24 to 518 of the family's 1533-position model. The record is from RNAcentral.